Molecule: ribosomal RNA, 539 nt
Filed under: Saccharomyces cerevisiae (brewer's yeast)
Lineage: Eukaryota; Fungi; Ascomycota; Saccharomycetes; Saccharomycetales; Saccharomycetaceae
Description: partial large subunit ribosomal RNA
Rfam family: Eukaryotic large subunit ribosomal RNA
Source: RNAcentral
CAACCGGGAUUGCCUUAGUAACGGCGAGUGAAGCGGCAAAAGCUCAAAUUUGAAAUCUGGUACCUUCGGUGCCCGAGUUGUAAUUUGGAGAGGGCAACUUUGGGGCCGUUCCUUGUCUAUGUUCCUUGGAACAGGACGUCAUAGAGGGUGAGAAUCCCGUGUGGCGAGGAGUGCGGUUCUUUGUAAAGUGCCUUCGAAGAGUCGAGUUGUUUGGGAAUGCAGCUCUAAGUGGGUGGUAAAUUCCAUCUAAAGCUAAAUAUUGGCGAGAGACCGAUAGCGAACAAGUACAGUGAUGGAAAGAUGAAAAGAACUUUGAAAAGAGAGUGAAAAAGUACGUGAAAUUGUUGAAAGGGAAGGGCAUUUGAUCAGACAUGGUGUUUUGUGCCCUCUGCUCCUUGUGGGUAGGGGAAUCUCGCAUUUCACUGGGCCAGCAUCAGUUUUGGUGGCAGGAUAAAUCCAUAGGAAUGUAGCUUGCCUCGGUAAGUAUUAUAGCCUGUGGGAAUACUGCCAGCUGGGACUGAGGACUGCGACGUAAGUCA